This 882-nucleotide ribosomal RNA is filed under the name Escherichia coli. RNAcentral describes it as "partial 23S ribosomal RNA". It matches the Rfam family "Bacterial large subunit ribosomal RNA", at positions 2049 to 2925 of the family's 2925-position model. Lineage: Bacteria; Pseudomonadati; Pseudomonadota; Gammaproteobacteria; Enterobacterales; Enterobacteriaceae. The record is from RNAcentral.
CGCUGUGAAGAUGCAGUGUACCCGCGGCAAGACGGAAAGACCCCGUGAACCUUUACUAUAGCUUGACACUGAACAUUGAGCCUUGAUGUGUAGGAUAGGUGGGAGGCUUUGAAGUGUGGACGCCAGUCUGCAUGGAGCCGACCUUGAAAUACCACCCUUUAAUGUUUGAUGUUCUAACGUUGGCCCGUAAUCCGGGUUGCGGACAGUGUCUGGUGGGUAGUUUGACUGGGGCGGUCUCCUCCUAAAGAGUAACGGAGGAGCACGAAGGUUGGCUAAUCCUGGUCGGACAUCAGGAGGUUAGUGCAAUGGCAUAAGCCAGCUUGACUGCGAGCGUGACGGCGCGAGCAGGUGCGAAAGCAGGUCAUAGUGAUCCGGUGGUUCUGAAUGGAAGGGCCAUCGCUCAACGGAUAAAAGGUACUCCGGGGAUAACAGGCUGAUACCGCCCAAGAGUUCAUAUCGACGGCGGUGUUUGGCACCUCGAUGUCGGCUCAUCACAUCCUGGGGCUGAAGUAGGUCCCAAGGGUAUGGCUGUUCGCCAUUUAAAGUGGUACGCGAGCUGGGUUUAGAACGUCGUGAGACAGUUCGGUCCCUAUCUGCCGUGGGCGCUGGAGAACUGAGGGGGGCUGCUCCUAGUACGAGAGGACCGGAGUGGACGCAUCACUGGUGUUCGGGUUGUCAUGCCAAUGGCACUGCCCGGUAGCUAAAUGCGGAAGAGAUAAGUGCUGAAAGCAUCUAAGCACGAAACUUGCCCCGAGAUGAGUUCUCCCUGACUCCUUGAGAGUCCUGAAGGAACGUUGAAGACGACGACGUUGAUAGGCCGGGUGUGUAAGCGCAGCGAUGCGUUGAGCUAACCGGUACUAAUGAACCGUGAGGCUUAACCUU